GGGAAGUUGGUGAAGCUGGUGCUCACGUGCUGCUGAAGACGGCGAGAAGGCGGUUCAAUUCCGUCACUUCCCAC
RNAcentral lists this transfer RNA (74 nucleotides) under Planktothrix pseudagardhii. RNAcentral describes it as "tRNA-Phe". It matches the Rfam family "tRNA". Rfam says of the family: Transfer RNA (tRNA) molecules are approximately 80 nucleotides in length. Their secondary structure includes four short double-helical elements and three loops (D, anti-codon, and T loops). Lineage: Bacteria; Bacillati; Cyanobacteriota; Cyanophyceae; Oscillatoriales; Microcoleaceae. The record is from RNAcentral.